This 75-nucleotide transfer RNA is filed under the name Cordylochernes scorpioides. RNAcentral's name for it is "tRNA-Thr". Lineage: Eukaryota; Metazoa; Arthropoda; Arachnida; Pseudoscorpiones; Chernetidae. The record is from RNAcentral.
UGUCCAGAAUUGGGAAUCGAACCCACAGUGUUCCGCUUACCGGGCAGAUGCCAUGUCCACUAGGCUACCCUGGAC